This 201-nucleotide long non-coding RNA is filed under the name Mytilus galloprovincialis (Mediterranean mussel). Lineage: Eukaryota; Metazoa; Mollusca; Bivalvia; Mytilida; Mytilidae. The record is from RNAcentral.
GCUGAAUACAGACGUGUGGUCAAAGUGUUGUUGAUGAAUGGUGGUGCUGAACAUUGAUUGGAUUAACUUUAACGUCUAUUAUUGUUUUUUCAUAUGAAAUUGUAAUAAUUUGCCAAAAUUAAAUGUUUUAUUUUAAUUCGUUUUAAUUCCUACUGAGCAUUUAUUUAGUAUUGCUUUGCAUCCAGUCGUCUCAUAUCUUUA